UACGGAGGGUGCAAGCGUUAUCCGGAAUCACUGGGCGUAAAGGGCGCGUAGGCGGUCCAUUAAGUCCGAUGUUAAAGACCGGGGCUCAACCCCGGCACGGCGUUGGAUACUGUUGGGCUGGACGGCUGGAGAGGCGAGUGGAAUUACCAGUGUAGCGGUGGAAUGCGUAGAUACUGGUAGGAACACCCAUGGCGAAGGCAGCUCGCUGGACAGCACGUGACGCUGAGGCGCGAAAGUGUGGGGAGCAAACCGGAUUAGAUACCCGGGUAGUCCACACCCUAAACGAUGCAUACUUGGUGUUGGCCCGUUGGGGUCAGCGCCGGAGCUAACGCGUUAAGUAUGCCGCCUGGGAAGUACGGCCGCAAGGUUG
Molecule: ribosomal RNA, 370 nt
Filed under: uncultured bacterium
Lineage: Bacteria
Description: bacterial SSU rRNA
Rfam family: Bacterial small subunit ribosomal RNA
Source: RNAcentral